Hypomesus transpacificus is the source of this 3328-nucleotide long non-coding RNA. RefSeq lists it as uncharacterized. Lineage: Eukaryota; Metazoa; Chordata; Actinopteri; Osmeriformes; Osmeridae. The transcript is spliced from 4 exons. The record is from RefSeq and is a predicted model, not a curated record.
ACUAUUGGAAAGCAGCCAGGCUUAGUUACACUUAUGCAUGCACACCAAUGUUCCCUCUAAACUGCGCGGCCGCGAAGACCAGUUGAAGGACCCGCGCACUAGAUUUUUCAGACCGCGCACAAAAUAAAAUCAAUAUUUUUGUAAUUAUUAUUUUAGAAAAACUAUAAAUGUUAAAGCUUUUGACAAAAUGACGACCCUGGCGCUCAGCUGAAGCUUUGCCUAGCAGCGAAAAUCAGGAACGUUAGAACUACCACAAUAAAGGGCAGUUUUACAUUUAAACACGAAUGGCUUGAUGAAAUCCUUCAAACGGACACAAGCGUUUGUCCAGGAGUAGAGUGGUUUGGCAGCCUCCUAGCACUUCGCCAUCUCUCUGUCCGAACUCCGGAGGCAACAUCACUGGGAGCUACAGCCUUCAAUAAAACUACAGAGGUGGAGUUCUUUGAAAAUCUGGCAGUAGUGGUGGACAGGCACACAUUCCCUCCACACAUGAUUUACAAUGUGGCUGAAACAGGCGUCUUUACAGUACAAAAGCAAUGGCAGGUUGUGACAGAGAAAGGAAAAAAGCAAGUUGGUUCUAUCACAUCAGCUGAGAGAGGAGAACUGGUGACUGUGGUGUGUGCAGUGAAUGCUGCUGGUAAUGCCAUACCUCCCAUGUUUGUCUUCCCCAGAGUUAGGCUUAAGGACGACUUCAUGAUAAGAGCACCUCCAGGAGCCAAAGGUGCCGGGAUGGAUGAAUGAAGACACCUGGCCUGAGUUCCUUGAUCACCUGAUACAGCACACUAAGUGCACUGCUGACCAUCUUAUGCUGCUAAACCUUGAUAAUCUUAAAGCUCACGUCACACUCAAGGCAGUAGAAAAAGCACAGAGCAACGGUAUUGUUCUGCUCACCCUUCCACCCCACACAUCCCAUCGCAUGCAGCCUCUCGACGUGACCGUGAAUGGCCCGUUCAAGAUCCCAUACAGCCGAGUUCUUGAUGGGGGAUGAGAUCUAACCCUGGCAAAACAGUACUUGUGAAUGAGGCCUUCUUGUCAGCAGUGACACCACGGAAUAUCACUUCUGGAUUCAAGUCCACUGGGAUUUUCCUAAAUAACCAAGAUAUUUUCCUGAGGAAGCGUUUGCACCAUCCAUGGUGUUAGACCGGCCAAAUCCUGAGCUGCAUCCACUGGUCCAUCCACUUCAGAUGAUCCGGAUGGUCCACGCCCCUUCAGAUGAUCCACCCCCUGCAGAUGAACAACCUGCAGAUGAACCACCUGCUGCAGAUGAUCCACUCGCUGAUGCUAAUCCAUCCACUGCGUGUGGUCCACCUGGACGUGCCUCGCCAGCUGACUCAGAUGUGCGACAUAUUCCCAGCCGCCCUGGAUAUGUGUCUCCUUGUGAAAUCCUUAAACUUCCCAAAUGUCCCCCCAGAGCACAAAACAAAAGAAAGCGUGUGAAGACAGCCACCCUAACUGAUACUCCUGAGAAGCAGACAAUAGAAAAGGCUUAUGAAGAGAGACAAAAUAAACUGGCAGGGAAAAAACAAAAUGGCAAAGAAAAGGGAAAACCGAAAAAGAAAGCACCCAAAAAGAAAAUCAUAGAUAGCAGCUUUGAGGAUCGAUGUCCCUGUCACACUUGAUGAUGAGUUUGACAAAAAGAGCUCUGAGGAUGAGAGGAGUGAUCCUGGAAACACAGAUCUGUCCGUGGGUUACUGUCCUAGUUAACUUUGCAACCAAACACAGGAGUCUCGGUUACGUUGGCAUGCUUGAGAAAGUUGAGGAUGACAAAAUACUUACACAAUUCCUCAGAAGAAUCCAGGGAAACAAAAAAGAGUGGGUGAGACCCACGUUUGCUGUAAAAGAAAAUGAUGUGGCACAUGUUCCUAAAGGUGAUGUGGUGAAGAAGCUGCCUCAACCUAAUAGGCCUGGAAGAACCACACGGAGACAGCACCUCUUCACCUUUCCCUGUAACCUUCAGGGCUGGAAUGUAGAGUAGGCCUUCUUAUAGAGUAUGAGGCUGAUGUUUUAAUUAGGGCUAUGAAAAAUAACGCGUUAACGCGUUAUGAUUAAAUUACAGGAUUAAUUCGUUAUUUUUGUUUAACGCAUUUAACGUAAUAUACCCACAAUUCCACCCAAUUUGCAACUUCUGGAUGACAAGUUUGUGUUCCAAAAAACCCAAAGUGAUAUGCACACUGCGGGAAGACGUUAUCGCUCUGGAUAAGAGCGUUUGCUAAAUGACUGAAUGCUAAAUGACUGAAUGUUAUCGUUUCACCGAAGCAAUACCAGCCUAACCAAUACCACCUCAACGCGAAGGAUGCGUUGGUCGGCGAGGGGAGUUCAAGUAGAAUGUGCCAAACCACCCUUACUGAACAGCGUAGGGCCCUCACUAAUUCUGCCUGUGACAAGGUGACUAGCACUGCCAAAUGUAUUGCAAAAAGCUGUAGACCGAUUUAUAUUGUUGAGGACAAGGGGUUCACCCAGGCCCGGACUGGCCAUCGGGGAUACCGGGAGAAUCCCCGGUGGGCCGAUGGGGUUGGGAUGGUCCAAAACACCGGCCCACUUCCAUUACCAACCGGCCCUCUGACAUCGCCAACAUCUCAUAUUAUUUCACAUGUCACAGCUUGAAUACGUAAAAAUAGUUCUUAGACCUUUCGUCGACUAAUACCACUGACUGAUAUUUAUACUGCUCCUUGCGAUCUGUAUUUACACUCAUGGUGCCGAUUUUUCAAAAAUGUUCUGACCUGUGUUCUGAAAUGUGUUCUUACGGACUUUACGUUAAACGGAAGUUUAACGUAAGAAAUUCAACAUAUAUGAUGUAAUUUCUUUGUAAUCAUCCAAAAUAAUGCUGAGUGGAAAUUGGUAAUUUUUCAAGUAGGCCAAUGACUGGUCGAUACGUGCGAUCGAUGCAUAGAGUGGACAACGUGUUUUGAGGGGGCCGGGCACCGUUUACUGAGUGGGCCGGUCUGACAGUAAAACUCCCGGGCCACUUUUUCCCCCCAGUCCGUCCCUGGAACCGUUCACCAAAGUUUUGCGAGUGGCAAGGUACUGCAAAAUCAAAGACGCACACUAAUGACAACAAUUCGGAAAAUCGGUAAUAUGUAAUUAAUCAUGAUUAAUCCACAGAAACCUGUGAUUAAAUUGAUUAAAUUUUUUUAUCAUUUCACAACCCUAGUUUUAAUCCAGGUGGGUGUAGUCCUGGUGGGUCUGGUCCUGUGUGAGACCCAGACUGUUCUUGCUGGUUCUGAUUAUGGUCCCCUGAUGUGUUCUAAUAUAACUGGUUCUAUCUGUCAUUUGAAUGUUAAUUAAAACAUUGAAUUAUAUUAUGUUGUACAUGAUUUUGUUCAGAGUUACU